UGCAAUGAUGAUUUCUGAGAUAGGGACAACUGAUGCUUCGGCAUUUGAGGUGAUCUCUCGAAAGCAUUUUAGUAGAUGUACUUUCUUUCUGAUA
Molecule: small nucleolar RNA, 94 nt
Rfam family: A. fumigatus snoRNA Afu_335
Source: Rfam